AUGAGCUAUGAGGAUAACAUUUACCUCUUCUUUACCUUUGAUCAUGCCAAUCAGUUCAUCGAUUUUUUGGCGGUUAGUGCUUCAUUCUCCUCUUCAGAGAUGGAGUUCACCUUCUUCGUGGUAGACCUUUCAAAGGGAAAGAAGAGGGAGUGUGUGGCAGCAUCCAAAAAAAGGAAAAAAAUGCUUGAUCUCAAUAAGUUGCCUCCUGAUCUCAAUGAGCUUCCUCAUGAUAUGGAUCAGCAGCAACCCAGCAUACAACAAGGAAAAUGGACAGAAAAUGGUCGAUCUGUUUACUACACGCAGGCAAGUCAUGAUGGUAACCUUAUGGGCCAUGACAAUGUGGCAGGCCAGUCAUCAGAUCGUGGUGCCCCUGUAGUGGUGUCUUUGCAGUCAGAGAGCCAUACUCUUGAUGACACGGGAACCGAGGUAAAUGUUCCUGGUCCAACCAGGACCGAGCUAGGAGCUGGGGCUGUUGACGGAGCUGUGCAAAGAGAAGAAGGAGAGGAUGAGGCUGGUUCUUAA
RNAcentral lists this ribosomal RNA (522 nucleotides) under Triticum aestivum (bread wheat). RNAcentral describes it as "partial small subunit ribosomal RNA". Lineage: Eukaryota; Viridiplantae; Streptophyta; Magnoliopsida; Poales; Poaceae. The record is from RNAcentral.